GACGAACGCUGGCGGCGUGCUUAACACAUGCAAGUCGAACGGAAAGGCCCUGCUUUUGUGGGGUGCUCGAGUGGCGAACGGGUGAGUAACACGUGAGUAACCUGCCCUUGACUUUGGGAUAACUUCAGGAAACUGGGGCUAAUACCGGAUAGGAGCUCCUGCUGCAUGGUGGGGGUUGGAAAGUUUCGGCGGUUGGGGAUGGACUCGCGGCUUAUCAGCUUGUUGGUGGGGUAGUGGCUUACCAAGGCUUUGACGGGUAGCCGGCCUGAGAGGGUGACCGGCCACAUUGGGACUGAGAUAGGGACCAGACUCGUACGGGAGGCAGCAGGGGGGAAUAUUGCACAAUGGGCGGAAGCCUGAUGCAGCAACGCCGCGUGCGGGAUGACGGCCUUCGGGUUGUAAACCGCUUUCGCCUGUGACGAAGCGUGAGUGACGGUAAUGGGUAAAGAAGCACCGGCUAACUACGUG
RNAcentral lists this ribosomal RNA (468 nucleotides) under uncultured bacterium. Its description in RNAcentral is "partial 16S ribosomal RNA". It matches the Rfam family "Bacterial small subunit ribosomal RNA", at positions 28 to 507 of the family's 1533-position model. The record is from RNAcentral.